This is a long non-coding RNA of Gopherus agassizii (Agassiz's desert tortoise), 1832 nucleotides long. The record is from Ensembl. Lineage: Eukaryota; Metazoa; Chordata; Testudines; Testudinidae.
GGCAGCAGCGUGGCCUGAGCACAGGUGAGGGAGUUUGACUUCGGAUCCAAGCUCCACCACUGAUGUGCUUGGCCCAGAUCCGCAGAGGUGUUGCAGCACCUAAAUCCUACUGGUUUCAAUGGGAGUUAAGUGCCUGGAAGCCUUUGGGGGUCUGAGACUUGGCUCCCAAGUGCCCUCUCGUGGUGGAUGCUUCUGUCUGUCUGUCCAACUAGAGCAGUGGUUCUCAACCUGCGACCCAUGGGCCACUCGCAGCCCAAUCCGCACACAGCUGUGGCCCCUGUGACAUCCUCAGGGCCACCCAGGGAGUGUGUAUGGUGUGUGGUUGUGUCCCACAUAGACAGCUGCCCAUGGGAUCCACAACAGUAAAUAGGUUGAGAACCACUGAACUAGAAGCUCUUUGUGGGCUGGUGUUUGGAGGGGUGGGGCACCCGCAGCAGCAGCUGGCUUUAGGGGCAGAUGCCAAGCACCACUGAAAAUCAGGCCCAAGCUAUGUCAGGAUGGGUACCCCAAACGAGGCUCCUCUUCCACGCCUGCAGCUGCCCCAAUGCCCUCCUGAAAUGGGCUGUCUAUUGACCUCCGUCCCCAGGCUGUAACCAAGCUCCUGGGUGAGCACCAGCGCUCUGAGGCACGGGUGCUGCUCUACAGGAGGGCAGAGCAUGGGCACCGGCCAGCUGGCUUAGCAAGCCUGAGCCCUGCUCCACCAAGAUCGACUUCAGCCAGGGGUGGAGCAGGAAUCCUGCAUCAGGGCUAGAAACCGGCCUGGACCAUCAUGCUGGCCUUGCUCCUCAGCCCAAGACAGCAGCGGUUCCUUGGCUUCAGCACGUGAACUUGUACCUGGCUGCUCAGUGCAAGGCCAGACUCCACCUUGGUGAGUCGGCACCAGCUUCAGUGGGGUCUGGCCAGGGAUGGAUUCAGGCUGACCUGCCAGAAGUCAGGAUCCCGGUCGGUCCUGGGGUCUCUACAGGGAUUGGCGAAAAAGGAAGGAGCCUUUUGCAGGUCAGUUACGUGGCACCAACUACACUAGGCAAGCUGCUGAUCUCUCUCCAUCCACGUUCUCCAACCAUUCCCAUUGCUGUGGCAUCUGGCCAGAUGACACCUCAGCAGCUGGGAGAGACGCAGCCCUGGGGGGACUGAGGACAGAAGCUGAUUUCAAAUAGCUGAACUCUGGUCCUGCAGAAGGCAUCUCGGCUGGAGAUCAAACUCGCAGUGUCCUUUUUGUGUCUUGUCUUGUGACUGCAGUAAUUCACAGUUGGAUUUUUUGCCCUGAACUGAAUGAAGGGGACCUGGUCAGCUGAAAGGACCGUUAUCAGCUUGAAAUAGUUGAUGGGGAUAAAUUUAUAACCCUUCGGGUUUCUGAUUGAGCCUCCUUUAAGUAGCAUGUAUGGAAAUAUAUAUUGUCGGUGUAUUUUGUCCCCCUGCUGAUAUUUACAAAGGUCUCUCCAGCAGGGGCGAGUGGGUGUUCCCAAGAUCAAAGCCAUGCUUAGACCCGGGACAGCUCCCACUUCUCUCAGUUGCAUCUUUGCUGCUGCUCUUACUGGCAAGCUCCCUCUUGCAAGGCCUGGGGGAAAGUAUGCAUGUGAACUUCCCCCAGCACUGCCUGACAGGCUGAGAGUGGUGUCCUCGUGCUAAUCAAAUGCAUGAGACAAAUCGGCACUCCCAUGGGUACCAACAGAUGGAAUUGAUUGACCACCGGCUGCUGUAAAAGAGAGAGAAAUCUCUCUCUUUUCUCUCUGUUUUCAAUUGCAGUGAUUGUUCGUGUUAUUUGUAACCAUUUCAGGUACAAUUUGUCAGGGGGAAAUAAAGGGUUAUUUCCCCAAGGGGGGCUAGGGGAG